The sequence is a small nuclear RNA, 118 nucleotides long. Its record names the gene U2. It matches the Rfam family "U2 spliceosomal RNA". Rfam says of the family: U2 is a small nuclear RNA (snRNA) component of the spliceosome (involved in pre-mRNA splicing). The record is from Ensembl.
CCUACUUCUCGGCCUUUUGGCUAAGAUCAAGUGUAGUAUCUGUUCUUAUCAGUCUAGCGCUCUUUAUAUUUCUAUUUGAUAGAGCUUGAAUUAGAUUGUGGAAGGUAUAGAAAGCCAA